GCGCAGCAGGCGCGAAAACUUUACAAUGCGAGCAAUCGUGAUAAGGAAACCCUGAGUGCCUGUUAUCACAGGCUGUUCUGGUGUCUAACACACACCAGGAGAAAGGGCGGGGCAAGACCGGUGCCAGCCGCCGCGGUAAUACCGGCUGCUCGAGUGAUAGCCACUUUUACUGGGCUUAAAGCGUUCGUAGCUUGGUCGUUAAGUCUCUGGGGAAAUCUUUUGGCUCAACCAAAAGGCGUCUCAGGGAAACUGGCGACCUAGGAACCGGGAGAGGUAAGACGUACUUCGGGGGUAGGAGUGAAAUCUUGUAAUCCCCGAGGGACGACCGAUGGCGAAGGCAUCUUACCAGAACGGCUUCGACAGUGAGGGACGAAAGCUGGGGGAGCAAACCGGAUUAGAUACCCGGGUAGUCCCAGCCGUAAACGAUGUGCGUUAGGUGUGUCAGCGACCACGAGUCGCUGAGGUGCCGAAGGGAAACCGUGAAACGCACCGCCUGGGAAGUACGGUCGCAAGGCUGAAACUUAAAGGAAUUGGCGGGGGAGCACCACAACGAGUGGAGCCUGCGGUUUAAUUGGAUUCAACGCCGGG
RNAcentral lists this ribosomal RNA (588 nucleotides) under uncultured Methanomicrobiales archaeon. RNAcentral's name for it is "bacterial SSU rRNA". It matches the Rfam family "Archaeal small subunit ribosomal RNA", at positions 330 to 922 of the family's 1478-position model. The record is from RNAcentral. Lineage: Archaea; Methanobacteriati; Methanobacteriota; Methanomicrobia; Methanomicrobiales.